UCCAUGAUGGCCGAGAUACCAGGCAUCGAGCUUUUAACUCGACUACAGUUAUUUACACUUCAGGAU
RNAcentral lists this transfer RNA (66 nucleotides) under Alasmidonta varicosa. Its description in RNAcentral is "tRNA-Lys". The record is from RNAcentral. Lineage: Eukaryota; Metazoa; Mollusca; Bivalvia; Unionida; Unionidae.